AUUCCUCAACUAUUUACUGCGGUACCAGCUCUCAAUGAGGCUGCAUCUUUCUUAACUUGCUCAAACAACUUCAUUACUAGUUGUUUCUCUGAUUAUUCUUGUAAGCUUGUUUUACUUGAUUUGAUGCUUCUGUUGUUAACAUGAAAAGGUUAUACAAUAUAUAGUCAAUUCAAAGCACACCAUGGAUAUUUGCCUUCUAUCAAAAACUUAUUGUUUGUUUUUCAUCUGUUUUGGGAUUGCUGACCAAACUGCUUUGAACUGCUAAUUAUUUUUUCUUUUCUGUUAUACAAAACAGGGAUCAUUCCAGAAUUGCAUAAUGUUUGAAAGUCUCUAAAAUUAGUGUAGAGAAAAAUUGCCGUUACUGUUAAUGUUCGUUAUCCUCAUAAUUCAUAUUGUACAAGAAUGAUUGUUACAAGUUUUUUUCCUUACCUUUUGAUUACAUUGGGCUUUGAAAAAUUCAUUCAAUCUUUAUAUCCAUUCCUUUUCUUUGAAAUUUGAACUUAGUUGACGGUGUAAAAUUAGUAUUGUCACAUCUUGUUAUCAACGCUAAGGACAGCUUUUAAAAGGAUCAAAAACUUUCAUGUGGUGUAAUUAUGUACUAGAAGAAAUCCAAAGCGGCAUAUAUCGACUUUCCAAGACAGUAUUUACUUGCUUAAUCAUUAUUUUUUGCUCAUUAUUUUUGGUUAGUACUGAAUUUUGCAUCACUUGAUUAGAAUUAUUUGGAACUGUUGAAGUGGAAUAUUCUUCUAGAGAUCCUGGGAAUUCAAUUACACAUGCACAGGAAUUGGUGACAUUUUCUUCUGAACAAACUGAGGAGUAUGAAGAUGGUGAUUGCGCAUCUUCCAGUCGAAGCCGUUCAAUGUUUAUGGAAUCAUCUACAUCUACAUCUUCCACUGCUCCCCCUCCUGUCCAUGAUAGAAUAACAAGAGCCUCUUUGGAACGCCCAUCUCAAAAUACUAGUCAACUGUACCGUCAAAUCAUAGUGGUCAAAAUGGCAUUUCCAUUUUUCAAG
This 1012-nucleotide unclassified non-coding RNA is filed under the name Hevea brasiliensis (rubber tree). The record is from RNAcentral. Lineage: Eukaryota; Viridiplantae; Streptophyta; Magnoliopsida; Malpighiales; Euphorbiaceae.